AUACGGGGGGGGCGAGCGUUGUCCGGAAUCAUUGGGCGUAAAGGGUGAGUAGGCGGGAUGGUAAGUCAGAGGUGAAAGUCCAGGGCUCAACUCUGGAUCUGCCUCUGAUACUGCUGUCCUUGAGUGCGGGAGAGGGAAGUGGAAUUCCCGGUGUAGCGGUGAAAUGCGUAGAUAUCGGGAAGAACACCAGUGGCGAAGGCGGCUUCCUGGCCCGCAACUGACGCUGAAUCACGAAAGCGUGGGGAGCAAACAGGAUUAGAUACCCCAGUAGUCC
RNAcentral lists this ribosomal RNA (274 nucleotides) under uncultured bacterium. RNAcentral's name for it is "partial 16S ribosomal RNA". It matches the Rfam family "Bacterial small subunit ribosomal RNA", at positions 523 to 796 of the family's 1533-position model. The record is from RNAcentral.